GUGCUUGCCUUGGCAGUGCAUAUACUAUGAUUGGAACAAUACAGAGAAGAUUAGCACGACCCCGAGCAAGGAUGACACUCAAAUUAGUGAAGUGUUCCAUAUUAAA
This is a small nuclear RNA of Vombatus ursinus (common wombat), 106 nucleotides long. The record is from Ensembl. NCBI's taxonomy places the organism in Eukaryota, Metazoa, Chordata, Mammalia, Diprotodontia, Vombatidae.